Molecule: small RNA, 1306 nt
Filed under: Pongo abelii (Sumatran orangutan)
Lineage: Eukaryota; Metazoa; Chordata; Mammalia; Primates; Hominidae
Description: retained intron
Source: RNAcentral
ACAGUGCAGCCUCCAGCCAGAAGGAUGGGGUGGCUCCCACUCCUGCUGCUUCUGACUCAAUGCUUAGGGGUCCCUGGGCAGCGCUCGGCAUUGAAUGACUUCCAGGUGCUCCGGGGCACAGAGCUACAGCACCUGCUACAUGCGGUGGUGCCCGGGCCUUGGCAGGAGGAUGUGGCAGAUGCUGAAGAGUGUGCUGGUCGCUGUGGGCCCUUAAUGGACUGCCGGGCCUUCCACUACAAUGUGAGCAGCCAUGGUUGCCAACUGCUGCCAUGGACUCAACACUCGCCCCACACGAGGCUGCGGCGUUCUGGGCGCUGUGACCUCUUCCAGAAGAAAGGUACACGCCCACGCUCCGGAAUGGCCUGGAAGAAAACUUCUGCCGUAACCCUGAUGGCGACCCCGGAGGUCCUUGGUGCUACACAACAGACCCUGCCGUGCGCUUCCAGAGCUGCGGCAUCAAAUCCUGCCGGGAGGCCGCGUGUGUCUGGUGCAAUGGCGAGGAUUACCGCGGCGCGGUAGACCGCACGGAGUCAGGGCGCGAGUGCCAGCGCUGGGAUCUUCAGCACCCGCACCAGCACCCCUUCGAGCCGGGUUCCUCGAUCAAGGUCUGGACGACAACUAUUGCCGGAAUCCUGACGGCUCCGAGCGGCCAUGGUGCUACACUACGGAUCCGCAGAUCGAGCGAGAGUUCUGUGACCUCCCCCGCUGCGGGUCCGAGGCACAACCCCGCCAAGAGGCCACAACUGUCAGCUGCUUCCGCGGGAAGGGUGAGGGCUACCGGGGCACAGCCAAUACCACCACCGCGGGCGUACCUUGCCAGCGUUGGGACGCGCAAAUCCCGCAUCAGCACCGAUUUACGCCAGAAAAAUACGCGUGCAAGUGAGGUGGGGGGGGGGCGGGCGUUGGGACGUGCUGCUGCGGGUGAGACGGGAGGAGGGUAGUCACCGGCUUAGGGCUGGAGGCUGGCGGGCUAGGGCUGAGUGGAGCGCCUGCUUAGAGACCUUCGGGAGAACUUCUGCCGGAACCCCGACGGCUCAGAGGCGCCCUGGUGCUUCACACUGCGGCCCGGCAUGCGCGUGGCCUUUUGCUACCAGAUCCGGCGUUGUGCAGACGACGUGCGGCCCCAGGGUGAGGCCCAAGCUUGGGGGCUACAGAGCCGGGGCUGGAAGCCUGGAACCGGAGGGCCGGGGCGAGGUCUCGGCCUGACGGCUGCCCGCACCCGCCGCAGACUGCUACCACGGCGCAGGGGAGCAGUACCGCGGCACGGUCAGCAAGACCCGCAAGGGUGUCCAGUGCCAGCGCUGGU